UGUAUCCAUCAGAUUCUAGACAGUGUCCAUCAUAUUCACCAACAUGACAUAGUGCACAGGGACCUGAAGUCACUGCAUCCAGCAGAUCCUGGAGGCGGUGCUUCACUGCCAUCAAAUGGGCGUGGUGCACCGAGACCUGAAGCCAGAGUAAUCUG
This is a long non-coding RNA of Sinocyclocheilus grahami, 155 nucleotides long. RefSeq lists it as uncharacterized. The transcript is spliced from 3 exons. Lineage: Eukaryota; Metazoa; Chordata; Actinopteri; Cypriniformes; Cyprinidae. The record is from RefSeq and is a predicted model, not a curated record.